Molecule: non-coding RNA, 1054 nt
Organism: Pelobates cultripes (western spadefoot toad)
Lineage: Eukaryota; Metazoa; Chordata; Amphibia; Anura; Pelobatidae
Source: the annotation of a GenBank genome assembly
GUCACAAGCUAUGACAGUUUCUAUGUAUCAGGAAAUGCCUAACCACAAUGUAUAUGUGAUAUUUUGUAAGAUUAGAUUAUUGAAUGUAACAGCAGAAACUACUUCCUCUUUUAUGUAUCUUUUGUAACCUUUUUGUGACAAGUAUAGUAUAAAUAUAGCGAAUCUUGAAUAAACGAUCAGAAGAUUAUGGAAAGCAAAGAGUGUGCGUCUGGUUAAUACGCUUCCAUAAAAAUCUUCCCUGAAUAUUCAGCUGACAAUCGAGGGUUGGAGAAUAGUGACCAGAGGGACCGAGUCACCAGAGUAGCAGAUUUACCUUUCAGCUUGGUGUCAGAAAGUGGGAUUGUAGCCAAAACCAUUUUGGGUGAGUAGUAAUUCCUUGUGUCUAUCUUGACACCCUGAAUCUAUGAUCCCCAUGGUUUUGUAAGUCUACAUCAUUUUAGGAAAGGUUAUUUAGUAUAUGUGUUUUCUGUGACUCAGUUUUACAUAAGGUCCCGUUACAUUAGUCUAGUAAGGGAACUAGACAGAGAGAUAUAUGUAUUUCUAGUAAGUGAACUAGAGAAGGUCUAAUAAGAGAAUUGGACAGAUAAAGUCUAUAAAGUGAUAUAGACAGAGAAUUUAGUAUAUAAGUGAAUAUACUACGAUAGUGUGCACAGAGUUUCAGGUUCACCUUGUCCACCCUCUAAUUGUCAUUAGUUAAGUUUGGUUGUGAGUGUGAAUAAGUGUUUGAAAGAUUUGUCCUAGGAAUGGGAAAUUACCAUGCAAGAAUAUGAAGUAGUUAACUUUUCUUGUUCAUAUGUAUUUUAUGCUUAAAUAAGGUUUAUAAUCAUUAGUGCUGACUGUAAGGAUAUGAAAUAGUUAAACUCUUUUUGCUUUAUAUGCUAACCCUGAAAAUAUACUCACUGAGAAUCUUGUUAAAGCACAUUUGUAGUGUCCAUGUCUUUAUUGCAAACAAUGAUUCUCCAUCAAUUGGGUGAUUGUCUAUAUUGGGGACACACUUUGGUAAGUUAGUAGUGUGUCCACCCUGAGUCAGCAGUAUGGGAAAUGUAAGUUCUGG